This 253-nucleotide ribosomal RNA is filed under the name uncultured bacterium. RNAcentral describes it as "partial 16S ribosomal RNA". It matches the Rfam family "Bacterial small subunit ribosomal RNA", at positions 524 to 776 of the family's 1533-position model. The record is from RNAcentral.
UACGGAGGGGGCUAGCGUUGUUCGGAAUUACUGGGCGUAAAGCGCGCGUAGGCGGCUUUGUAAAUUAGAGGUGAAAGCCCGGGGCUCAACCCCGGAAUUGCCUUUAAGACUGCAUCGCUAGAAUCAUGGAGAGGUUAGUGGAAUUCCGAGUGUAGAGGUGAAAUUCGUAGAUAUUCGGAAGAACACCAGUGGCGAAGGCGACUAACUGGACAUGUAUUGACGCUGAGGUGCGAAAGCGUGGGGAGCAAACAGG